This 378-nucleotide RNase P RNA is filed under the name Bacteroidota bacterium. RNAcentral describes it as "Bacteroidetes bacterium RNase P RNA component class A". It matches the Rfam family "Bacterial RNase P class A". From Rfam's summary of the family: Ribonuclease P (RNase P) is a ubiquitous endoribonuclease, found in archaea, bacteria and eukarya as well as chloroplasts and mitochondria. Its best characterised activity is the generation of mature 5'-ends of tRNAs by cleaving the 5'-leader elements of precursor-tRNAs. Cellular RNase Ps are ribonucleoproteins. The record is from RNAcentral. RNAcentral also lists the same sequence under 1 other name. Lineage: Bacteria; Pseudomonadati; Bacteroidota.
GUCAUUGCUGAUCCAUCGCCUCUUUGUAAGACAAGGGGAGGAAAGUCCGGGCAGCGCAGUGCAUCUUGCUUCCUAACAGGAAGGAUCCCGUUUAUUCGGGAGACAGCGAGUGCCACAGAAAAUAACUAUCCGCCGAAGAGGCGGAAAAAGGUGAAAAUGUGAGGUAAGAGCUCACGGUGAUCAUUAGCGAUAGUGGUCACGGGUAAACCUCAGGAGCUGAAAGACCAAAUAAGUCAUGGUACAAGGGCUGCACGUCCGAACUCCUUCGGGAAACCAUGAUGGGUAGGUCGAUAGAGGUAAUGUGCGAACAUUAUCCCAGAUAAAUGAUGGAUCCUGCAUUCGUAGGAACAGAACCCGGCUUACCAUUCAAUGACACGA